ACCUGGGUGGCUCAGUUGGUUGAGUAUCUGACUUCAGCUCAGGUCAUGAUCUCAUAGCUUGUGAGUUCGAGCCCCACCUCAGGCU
Molecule: transfer RNA, 85 nt
Filed under: Felis catus (domestic cat)
Lineage: Eukaryota; Metazoa; Chordata; Mammalia; Carnivora; Felidae
Rfam family: tRNA
About the family: Transfer RNA (tRNA) molecules are approximately 80 nucleotides in length. Their secondary structure includes four short double-helical elements and three loops (D, anti-codon, and T loops).
Source: Rfam by way of RNAcentral